CGGGGUUUAGCUCAGCUGGUUCGGCGCAUCCCGAUUUUACAUCGGGAGGGUCACUGGUUCGAAUCCAGUAGCCUCCA
Transfer RNA from Pseudopedobacter saltans DSM 12145, 77 nucleotides. It matches the Rfam family "tRNA". From Rfam's summary of the family: Transfer RNA (tRNA) molecules are approximately 80 nucleotides in length. Their secondary structure includes four short double-helical elements and three loops (D, anti-codon, and T loops). The record is from Rfam. NCBI's taxonomy places the organism in Bacteria, Pseudomonadati, Bacteroidota, Sphingobacteriia, Sphingobacteriales, Sphingobacteriaceae.